This 2536-nucleotide long non-coding RNA is filed under the name Homo sapiens (human). Its description in RNAcentral is "HSALNT0001449". Lineage: Eukaryota; Metazoa; Chordata; Mammalia; Primates; Hominidae. The record is from RNAcentral.
CCUGGGCUGAUGAUCAGGACUUACAGAACCUGGGGCGAUGGAAACCUCUACAAAUAUCCCAUUUAGAAAGACCGCCAGCCCUGCCAACAGAAUGAAACGGAGGCCAGGUUGCUAUGGUCUCUACUCCAAUGCCUGACAUUCCACCACCUUCACCCCACCCCCACCCCAUCCCACCCCCACCCCAUUGAUGCUAAGCCUCUCCCUGCUGUCCAGGAUCUCACCACCUGCAACCUCCAGCUGGAUUUGCCUUUUCAGUUCAAGGUCUUGACUCUUGACUGAUGUUUCCCCGCAAAAGCUGACAUUGCAGAGUGACUUCGUACAAGCCAUUGUUCCUGGCUGGGAAUCACCCGAGUUCAUUCAUGAGAAGGUCCCGAGUGAUCUAGGACUGUUUGUAUUUUUACCCAAAGAAAUGAGUCUUUUGGGAUAAUUUCAGGCACAAAGAGCAGUCUGGCAGGGGAGACAUUUUUUAUUUGUUGCUUUAGUUGGGGAAGUAAGCCUUUGGCUCACCUCUAAAUUCCCACUGCUCCCCUCCCACUGUAGAAAGCUGGCAGGAUGGUUGGAAGCAAUGUGGGGCAAGGAUUCUCAAACUCAGCAUAAUUAUGGCCUGAGGAACUUAAAAAAUGCACAUUCCCAGGUCCUGGCUUUCAGUCUCUGAACUACAUUUUUUUUUUUUUUGAGACAGAGUCUCAUUCUGUCAUCCAGGCUGGAGUGCAGUGGCGUGAUCUCAGCUCACUGCAACCUCUGCCUCUCAGCUUCAAGCGACUCUUGUGCCUCAGCCUCCCAAGUAGGUGGGGCUACAGGUAUGCACUGCCACGCCUAGCUAAUUUUUGUAUUUUUAGUAGAGAUAGGGAUUUUGUCAUGUUGGCCAGCCUGGUGUCGAACUUCUGGCCUCGAGUGAUCUGCCUGCCUCGGCCUCCCAAAGUGUUGGGAUUACAGGUGUGAGCCACCGUACCUGGCCAGAACUACAUUUUGAGAAAUACUGGUUUUUGUGGCAAGAGACACAGACCUAGGUUCAAGUACUAUAAUUAGCUGUGUGACCUUGAAUGUGAUCCUUCUGAGCUGCAAUGCUCUUAGCUUUAAAACAGGAAUUAAGCCUAUCUCCUCCACCUCAUGGGAGAUCAUCAGCAAACGUGCUUCAUGCCUGUUAAAUGCCUUGGCAUGUGGAAGAGUGCCAUUUUUAUACUAGUGCCAACCAUGUGCUGUAGAGAAAUACAAAGGAAGGCACAGACCUGGUCCCAAGCUCAGAGAGAAAUUCCUUAAAUCUUUGGGGCUGGAUGUAAACUCAUCGGCACUAUUUUGAGUGAAGGCUAUUGGCCAGAGUGGAAGGAAGUGUUUUCUAUCUCAUGCAUGCUGGUGCCUCCCAGUGAACAACACAGCAAAGUCUACAGAGCGUGUCAGGAGCUUGAAUCAGGUGUGCCAGGCAACGCUAUGGUAACAAACAGCCCCUGGGUCUCAGUGGCUGAGCCCAGCGAAAGCUUACUUCUUGCUCAUGUUGUCUGUCCCAGCAGGUCGGCAGGCAGUUGCAGUUCUCUUCCACAGACUCACUCAGGGACCCAGGCUGACGGAAGUUCCAUCAGCUGUAGCUGCACCAUCUGGGACACACGGCCUCCAUGGCUGCGGCAGCUGGGAAACAGACCCUGGAGAAGGGCGCACCAGCUUUUUACUGCCUCAGCCUGGAAAUGACACGUAUCACUUCUGCUCAAUUUCAUCGGCCAAAGCUAGCCAUAUGGCACAGCUGGGAAACCCAGGGGAGUCAACGGUCUGUGUAGUGAACAUUAUUGUUUCUGCCACAGAAAACUUCCAAGAGUAGGGAGAUGAGAGAGCUUGCGGUUCAGAUUUCCAGUUUGGGCACAAAGACGGAUGUCUCCUAGAGAGAAAGGGAUGGGAGAGUCCUCUGUGGAGUGGCUUCUGUUCCCUACAUCCCAGAGAGGCUCAGCUUUUCUGGCCGAUGGAGUGCAGUUUUAUUUGUUUGAGAAUAUGUUUUGUUUUCUUCCUUUUUCUCGUUCUUGCUUACCCUCAAAACAUGGGAAGAAAAGCUGUCUGACUCAAACAGCCAGCAGUCUGGUCCGGGCCCCCUAAGAUGGAGAGGCGCCAUUUCCCAGCAGGCCAAGAAAUGCCCCGGGAGCUCCAAGGGUUCUGUGGGUCCCGGGAUGAGAGGCUGACACAGCCAAGAAGACCCAGGGUGAGGCUGAGCGGAGGCUGAGGCGGCAUGCCUGGCCGCCCACACUGCCAUCCGUCCUAGCGCUCUGUGCAGAGCACGGCUGAAAACUCCCCAGGUAUCUUUGGAAAUGAAGAACACUGGGUUGGCACCCGGCAAUUUGGGACAGCAGCUUUUCUGGAGCGCACAGCUUGGGAAUAAGCCUGAAGAAAUCUUUCAUUCCUAGAGCGUUGGUGGAUAAAUGGUACUUAUUUGUUUAACCUCAAAUCAAGCCGCAGCCCCCAUUUCUGGGGCUGCUUUGCGAGGGUUGUUUUAAAAUAGCUGAACAAGCUGAAAAUCACGGGUCUAGGUUGCUGGAAUGGCUUUGCAGAGAGCAGC